UCGAGCACGGACCGCCGAGAAUGGGCCUUC
RNAcentral lists this small RNA (30 nucleotides) under Bombyx mori (domestic silkworm). RNAcentral's name for it is "ovarian small RNA-1119". Lineage: Eukaryota; Metazoa; Arthropoda; Insecta; Lepidoptera; Bombycidae. The record is from RNAcentral.